GGGCGGCCGAUGUCCGAUUAGCUUGUUGGUGGGGUAAUGGCCCACCAAGGCGACGAUCGGUAGCUGGUCUGAGAGGAUGAUCAGCCACACUGGGACUGAGACACGGCCCAGACUCCUACGGGAGGCAGCAGUGGGGAAUUUUGGACAAUGGGGGCAACCCUGAUCCAGCCAUGCCGCGUGCGGGAAGAAGGCCUUCGGGUUGUAAACCGCUUUUAGCCGGGACGAAAGCUCUACGGAUAACACCCGUAGGGGUUGACGGUACCGGCGGAAUAAGCACCGGCUAACUACGUGCCAGCAGCCGCGGUAAUACGUAGGGUGCGAGCGCUAAUCGGAAUUACUGGGCGUAAAGCGUGCGCAGGCGGUUCGUUGUGUCGGCGGUGAAAGCCCCGGGCUCAACCUGGGAAUGGCCGUUGAAACUGGCGGACUGGAGUGUGGCAGAGGGGGGUGGAAUUCCGCGUGUAGCAGUGAAAUGCGUAGAGAUGCGGAGG
This 488-nucleotide ribosomal RNA is filed under the name uncultured beta proteobacterium. RNAcentral's name for it is "bacterial SSU rRNA". It matches the Rfam family "Bacterial small subunit ribosomal RNA", at positions 224 to 704 of the family's 1533-position model. Lineage: Bacteria; Pseudomonadati; Pseudomonadota; Betaproteobacteria. The record is from RNAcentral.